GCUUACGGCCAUAUCAGCCUGGGUACGCCCGAUCUCGUCUGAUCUCGGAAGCUAAGCAGGGUCGGGCCUGGCUAGUACUUGGAUGUGAGACGGCCUGGGAAUACCAGGUGCUGUAAGCA
RNAcentral lists this ribosomal RNA (119 nucleotides) under Salmo salar (Atlantic salmon). Lineage: Eukaryota; Metazoa; Chordata; Actinopteri; Salmoniformes; Salmonidae. The record is from RNAcentral.